AGAGCUUGCUUUCUCGAGCGAGUGGCGAACGGGUGAGUAACGCGUGAGGAACCUGCCUCAAAGAGGGGGACAACAGUUGGAAACGACUGCUAAUACCGCAUAACACAUAGGUGUCGCAUGGCACUUAUGUCAAAGAUUUAUCGCUGAAAGAUGGCCUCGCGUCUGAUUAGAUAGUUGGUGGGGUAACGGCCUACCAAGUCGACGAUCAGUAGCCGGACUGAGAGGUUGAACGGCCACAUUGGAACUGAGACACGGUCCAAACUCC
Molecule: ribosomal RNA, 265 nt
Filed under: uncultured Oscillospiraceae bacterium
Lineage: Bacteria; Bacillati; Bacillota; Clostridia; Eubacteriales; Oscillospiraceae
Description: partial 16S ribosomal RNA
Rfam family: Bacterial small subunit ribosomal RNA
Source: RNAcentral